RNAcentral lists this ribosomal RNA (386 nucleotides) under uncultured bacterium. RNAcentral describes it as "bacterial SSU rRNA". It matches the Rfam family "Bacterial small subunit ribosomal RNA", at positions 456 to 841 of the family's 1533-position model. The record is from RNAcentral.
CACGUGUGCGGUUUGGAGAGUACCCGGAGAAAAAGCAUCGGCUAACUCCGUGCCAGCAGCCGCGGUAAUACGGAGGAUGCGAGCGUUAUCCGGAUUUAUUGGGUUUAAAGGGUGCGUAGGCGGACGCUUAAGUCAGCGGUAAAAUUGCGGGGCUCAACCUCGUCGAGCCGUUGAAACUGGGUGCCUUGAGUGGGCGAGAAGUACGCGGAAUGCGUGGUGUAGCGGUGAGAUGCAUAGAUAUCACGCAGAACUCCGAUUGCGAAGGCAGCGUACCGGCGCCCAACUGACGCUGAAGCACGAAGGCGUGGGUAUCGAACAGGAUUAGAUACCCUGGUAGUCCACGCAGUAAACGAUGAAUGCUAGUUGUCCGGGGCGAUUGAGUUCUG